AUUGAACGCUGGCGGAAUGCUUUACACAUGCAAGUCGAGCGGCAGCACGGGGGUAACCCUGGUGACGAGCGGCGAACGGGUGAGUAAUACAUCGGAACAUGCCCAGUCGUGGGGGAUAACACUUCGAAAGAAGUGCUAAUACCGCAUACGUCCUGAGGGAGAAAGCGGGGGAUCGCAAGACCUCGCGCGAUUGGAGUGGCCGAUGUCAGAUUAGCUAGUUGGUGGGGUAAAGGCCUACCAAGGCAACGAUCUGUAGCUGGUCUGAGAGGAUGAUCAGCCACACUGGGACUGAGACACGGCCCAGACUCCUACGGGAGGCAGCAGUGGGGAAUUUUGGACAAUGGGGGCAACCCUGAUCCAGCCAUUCCGCGUGAGUGAAGAAGGCCUUCGGGUUGUAAAGCUCUUUCGGCAGGAACGAAACGGUGAGCUCUAACAUAGCUUGCUAAUGACGGUACCUGAAGAAGAAGCACCGGCUAACUACGUG
RNAcentral lists this ribosomal RNA (484 nucleotides) under uncultured bacterium. Its description in RNAcentral is "partial 16S ribosomal RNA". It matches the Rfam family "Bacterial small subunit ribosomal RNA", at positions 30 to 507 of the family's 1533-position model. The record is from RNAcentral.